RNAcentral lists this ribosomal RNA (506 nucleotides) under uncultured bacterium. RNAcentral's name for it is "partial 16S ribosomal RNA". It matches the Rfam family "Bacterial small subunit ribosomal RNA", at positions 899 to 1397 of the family's 1533-position model. The record is from RNAcentral.
ACUCAAAUGAAUUGACGGGGGCCCGCACAAGCGGCGGAGCGCGUUGCUUAAUUCGAAGCAAAGCGAAGAACCUUACCCAGGCUUGACAUGCAGGUGGUAGGCGCCAGAAAUGGUUGCCCAAUGGUAUCCAAGCCAUACCUGUGCAGGUGUUGCAUGGCUGUCGUCAGCUCGUGCCGUGAGGUGUUGGCUUAAGUGCCGCAACGAGCGCAACCCCCGUCACAUGUUGCCACCAGGUAAUGCUGAGCACUCAUGUGAGACUGCCGGGGAAACCCCGGAGGAAGGAGGGGAUGACGUCAAGUCAGCAUGGCCCUUACGCCUGGGGCUGCAAACGCGCUACAAUGCGCGGUACAGCGGGCUGCGAGACCGCAAGGUGGAGCGAAUCCCGAAAAACCGCGCUCAGUUCGGAUUGGGGUCUGCAACUCGACCCCAUGAAGUCGGAGUCGCUAGUAAUGGCAGAUCAGCAUGCUGCCGUGAAUGCGUUCCCGGGCCUUGUACACACCGCCCGU